Molecule: ribosomal RNA, 1336 nt
Filed under: uncultured rumen bacterium
Lineage: Bacteria
Description: bacterial SSU rRNA
Rfam family: Bacterial small subunit ribosomal RNA
Source: RNAcentral
CAGGCCUAACACAUGCAAGUCGAGGGGCAGCGCGGGGUAGCAAUACUCUGGCGGCGACCGGCGAAAGGGUGAGUAACGCGUGAGCAACGUGCCCGUAUGUGGGGGAUAGUCGAUGGAAACGUCGCGUAAUACCCCGUAACACACGGUCUCGCAUGGGACUGUGUUGAAAGAUUGAUUGCAUACGGAUCGGCUCGCGUGCCAUUAGGUAGACGGCGGGGUAACGGCCCACCGUGCCGACGAUGGCUAGGGGUUCUGAGAGGAAGGUCCCCCACAUUGGUACUGAGACACGGACCAGACUCCUACGGGAGGCAGCAGUGAGGAAUAUUGGUCAAUGGGCGAGAGCCUGAACCAGCCAAGUAGCGUGCAGGAAGACGGCCCUAUGGGUUGUAAACUGCUUUUAUCAGGGGAUAAAGUGAGGGACGUGUCCCUUAUUGCAGGUACCUGAUGAAUAAGGACCGGCUAAUUCCGUGCCAGCAGCCGCGGUAAUACGGAAGGUCCAGGCGUUAUCCGGAUUUAUUGGGUUUAAAGGGAGCGCAGGCGGGCGUUUAAGCGUGCUGUGAAAUGCCGCGGCUCAACCGUGGAAGUGCAGCGCGAACUGGAUGUCUUGAGUGAGUACGACGCGGACGGAAUUCGUGGUGUAGCGGUGAAAUGCUUAGAUAUCACGAAGAACCCCGAUUGCGAAGGCAGUCCGCGAGUCCUUUACUGACGCUAAAGCUCGAAGGUGCGGGUAUCGAACAGGAUUAGAUACCCUGGUAGUCCGCACGGUAAACGAUGGAUGCCCGCUGUUGGCGAUAUACGGUCAGCGGCCAAGAGAAAUCGUUAAGCAUCCCACCUGGGGAGUACGCCGGCAACGGUGAAACUCAAAGGAAUUGACGGGGGCCCGCACAAGCGGAGGAACAUGUGGUUUAAUUCGAUGAUACGCGAGGAACCUUACCCGGGCUUGAACUGCAGAGGAAGGAUCUGGAGACAGUGACGCCCUUCGGGGCCUCUGUGGAGGUGCUGCAUGGUUGUCGUCAGCUCGUGCCGUGAGGUGUCGGCUUAAGUGCCAUAACGAGCGCAACCCUUUUCGCCAGUUGCCAUCAGGUGAUGCUGGGCACUCCGGCGAUACUGCCACCGUAAGGUGUGAGGAAGGUGGGGAUGACGUCAAAUCAGCACGGCCCUUACGUCCGGGGCUACACACGUGUUACAAUGGGUGGUACAGAGAGUCAGCGGCCGGCAACGUCCGCUCAAUCAUGAAAGCCAUCCUCAGUUCGGAUUGGGGUCUGCAACCCGACCCCAUGAAGCUGGAUUCGCUAGUAAUCGCGCAUCAGCCAUGGCGCGGUGAAUACGUUCCCGG